UGAGUUAUCCAUAAGGGUUUAAGAGGU
RNAcentral lists this non-coding RNA (27 nucleotides) under Rattus norvegicus (Norway rat). Lineage: Eukaryota; Metazoa; Chordata; Mammalia; Rodentia; Muridae. The record is from RNAcentral.